Molecule: long non-coding RNA, 6125 nt
Filed under: Sus scrofa (pig)
Lineage: Eukaryota; Metazoa; Chordata; Mammalia; Artiodactyla; Suidae
Description: lncRNA (ENSSSCG00000053056.1)
Source: RNAcentral
UACUUAAAGACAAAUAUUAAAGAUUAGAAACCAUUUUCUUUAAAAUUUUUUGAGAAAGGCAUAAUACAUAUUCAAUUUUAUAGUUGCCUUUUCCCCAACUACACCAAAUUUCUACUGUCAAAGCUAGAAAACCUCUGUAGAAUUAAGAGAGCUAAAAUUUUAUUUUGAACUUUCUUCUAAGUAGAUAGAGUUUCAUUCACAAGCAGAUAAAGAUAUCUUUGUAUCCUACUUAUUGCAAUAAUAGACCGGAUGGAUUCUUGGUAAAACCUGAAUAUUUUUAAAUGCUCUAUAUGUUCUAGUUCUAAAUUGCAUGUUUUAAGCAUAUUGCUUUGAAAUCCUGAAAAAAAUGCAUACUGAAUUUUGAUGUGUUCUAAAACAGUCAUGAAAAUUAACAUCUUCCCUCAGCCCAGGGCCAAACAGAUUUUUUUGCAGGGCCAAAUUAGAAUCUGCCUACAGGCUUCAGAUAAAAAAAGGUAGCAAGCAGGCAACUUUUUAAAGUCAGAAAAGGCAAAGUAAUCUUAUAUGGCUAUCUUUUUUGGUAAUCUAAGUAGCUGGGGAAGUGAAUUAUCUUUUAAUUUAGGCUUAACCCUGGCAGAGUAUAUGGAUGUUAAUAAAUCUUUUCCAGUGUAUAAGCAGGUAUAAUGGUACUUUAUAUCCGAUAGACAACAAAUUGUUUGAAUAUAGAAAUAUAAAUUACUGGGGGGUGAAAUUUGCAAGGCACAUUAACUAGGUGCUCUAAAUUUUUGUUGUUGUUGUUUUUGUUGUUGGAGUUUACGUUUGAAAAGGCCUACCUUCUGAUAUGGAGUUGGGAGGUCAGAAGCCAGAAUCAUGGAUUACUAAUUCCAGAUUACUAUUUCUACCUUCCCUGACAUUCCAUAGGUGAAACUCCAUAGGUGAUAAACAUUUACUCUUCUAUCUCUUGCUGAUGGAAACCCUUCUGGUAGAACUUAUUUCCAGCAUUGUAUUCCACUGGCUCCUUUAGUAGUCACUUCUUGUUCAUCCUUUUCAGUUCUUUCACAGUUUUGUAUCCUUUCUAGUCUGCUGAGAAGUGUCUUAGAAGGAGUCUAGAAAGGAAUCAGCCAGCCAGCCAGCCAGGAUGUUUUCCGUAUAACAGUGUUUUAUGGUUCUUUCCAAAGCUGCUAAAAUGGGAAUCCUUCUUUUGCAGUUCUCCCAUCAGAUUACAGUUUGAAUGCCUGAAGUGUUGGCAAUAUCCCAAUCCUGAGACCCUGUGAGUUUCUCUCUGUUCUCUGGAGUCCCUAGUGAUACUGGCCUGCAGGAUGGUCAUGAAACCUCAUUGCAGUCUAUUCAACUUCCUUUGAAUCCUUUUCCAGGGCAGCUACUCCUAAUAGGCUAAGUUCUAAGCAGCUUGUAAAAUACCUGACCUGUUCUUUAUGGCACUCCUUUCAUUUGAUAUACUGACAUAGUCAAAUGAGUCCUCAAAGGCAUCAUGUUGGCUCUAAUUUUCCCCUCCCCUCCUGCCUCUAGUCUCUGCAUUUUCUAAAAUGCUUCAAAUCUUUGAGGAGUGAGUUCUAGCGGAAAGCCAGUGUUCUCAAAUGUAGCGGACUGGGGUUAUUCACAAAUAUUUAACAUUGUAAUUAUGUUACUCUUGAGUUGGAGCUGGUGAAACAUGAAAUUCUUUGUCUAGGAGUACCCAUACCCAGAUUUUAAUGAACCCUAACUGAAUCUCGUCAUCUGCCAGGCAAGGCUAAUACUAUAGGUAUGGAGGAAUUUCAUGAGAGUGCUCAGAUCUAGUUUAUCAAGAAGAAUGCAGCACAAAUCUUUGAUUCAUAGUCCAUCUGUUAGAAGUUUGAGAAACUUUUAACCUCUGUGUUAAUGUGUCUGAUGAGCAUACUCCCUGGAUUAAAUGCCAAGAGGGGGGGUAAAUUAUGUACUACUAGUUCUACAAGAUACAAGGAUCUCUAUGGAUUAUCCUAACUCUUCCCCCUUCCAGUGAAUGAAUUAUGCUUACUGGUUAUUGAGGGAAAAAAAAUUCCUUUAUACCUCUUGAAGAUCUCUCUUCAGAAGACUCUAUUUGACUUUAGAUUUCUCUAACAGUGCUCAAUCAAUGCAAAACAAACAAAAAAACUGGAUUAAUAUUUAGGGCUGGAAAAAAAGUAACAAAUAUUCUCUCCCCUCACCACCUCUCCAUUGUCUCUUUUGGCACUAGCAGAUUACAAAGAAAACAAUUUAAAUGACUGAACAUUUAGCAGCAAUGUACAUGAGGCUUAUUUGCUAUAUUCCAUGUACUAUGUAAGGAACCAGAGAAAGAAAGAAAAGUGUGGUACUGUUUCUGCCCAAAGUCUAAUGGAAUAGAUAGAAAGAAAAAGAGAAUGUACCAGAAAGAAUAUAAUGUGAAGAGUAGGAAAAUGAAUAAAUGGGAAAUCAUAAUGGAAAUAUAACCAUGUGGUCGGAAAGGCAGUUUUCACAAAAUACUCUAAAAAUGUGGGAAAAAAAUUGAUUUUUUAAAAGCUUAGAACAAUUCAUAAUGAGGGAAAUUAUGUUUUUUGCCCUAUAAAAAAGCUUGCAAUUCCAAUCUAUUAUAGUAGGACAUGUGUUGUUUGCUAGCUUUUGUUUUCAUUUUUAUAAGAUAAUGAAUUGUAUUCAUCUCCCUUGUGAUUUGGAGCAUAAGGUUUCAUAUAUGUGGGAUGUAACAGUAGAGUAGAAAUAUUAGCUGUUCUAAACAGAUCAUCCUAGCAAUGUUGGUCUUAUUAGCUCAAAAUAACAAAUUCAAACCAUAGAAAUAGUGAAAAAAAAAUCAAACAAGGAAAUGAAGCUAAGCACAUUGCCAUUAGGGUAUGUUCUUUUUGACUGUUGCUGUUGAUUUGGAGAGCUCUAACAAACACUGUUUUAUUUCUAUCCAAUGCGCUAUUAUAAGUCCUUGCCAUGGUAAAUAUCUAUAGGAAGGUAAUCAGAGGCAGAAAUAGGACAGUUUGACACUUUCACAAUUUGGAAAAGAAAGAUAUGGUAAAAAAGUAAUUUCUAAGGUAUUCAAAGCAAAGCUCUUUCUAUUACAACCCAGCAGAAAAAAAUACUUUCUAAUAGAUUACUUAUAAAUUCAUUGGCAUAUUUAAAUUCAGUUGGCAAAUGCUAUUAAUUAACUUAUCAAAUACUGCCCAAACCCAGUUCUUUGGAACUCAAAACACUUAACAAGUACAUGCACGUUUGAGAUUCUGGGUUUAUGAUAGUAUUCAUAGUACCUUUUUUUUUUUUUUUUUUUUUUUUUUUUGCUGUUGUUGUUGUUUUUUAGGGCUGCACUCUGUGGCUCAUGGAAGUUCCCAGUCUAGGGGUCGAAUUGGAGCUGCAGCUGCCAGCCUACGCAAUAACCACGGCAACGCAGGAUCCAAGCCAUGUCUACAACCUGCACCGCAGCUCAUGGCAAUGCCAGAUCCUUAAACAACUGAGCAAAGCCAGGGAUUGAACCUGCAUCCUCAUGGUUACUAGUUAGGUUCAUUACCACUGAGCCACAGCAGGAACUCCUCACAGUAUAGUAUUGAUAUAUAUAUGAUGAGAUAUAUAUAUAUACACACACACAUGAUAUAGUAUUGAUAUAAAAUAGUAUAUAUAUUACAUAUAAUAUUGACAUGAUAGUAUUCACAGUAUAGUAUUGAUGAUUCUCAACCACUGCCCAUAACAUAACAUAUUUAUUCAUUCCUGUAUUCACUCAUGCAUUUAGUAUGGUAUUAUACAUGGGAAAACAGAGAGGAACAUGACACAGUUCCAGACCUCAAGAAACCACAACCUUUUAGAAGAGAUGGCAUCACCUCAGUUCUUGAAGUGCUCAUUCCCUUUCAUUAUAUGUAUACAAAAUGUGGAAUGAAGGAUAGUCCAUGUGAUUCACCUAGCACAAGGCCUGCACAUUCAAAUUGUGAAAAAAUAUUAGCUAUUAUUAUCAUCGUAUUACUUGAAUCUGGACAAUAAUUAUUUUCUAUUUUUGGUCAGAAAAACGCUAAGCAGCUUCUUUGUGAAUACACAGAUCAUAAGUAGAAAUACUGGGAUUCAAACUCAGGUUUCAGUGCUGAGUGAUUUACAUACUCAGUAUUUUUUCUUUCUCCUACCUUAGCUCUCUUCUGAAAUAGUCAUUUCCAAGACUUCCUUGAAAGGAUAAUUCUUAUAAUUGAUAUGGAAAAAUCAUUCAUGUAGUUCUUUCUGAAUCUCCUUUUUCUGUAGCCUAUUUUGCUCCAGAAAAUAUUCUGUAAGAGUUAUUCUUUUACUCUUUUACAGAAAUAUUUAUAAUAUUGCAGCAGCAUGACACUUGUUACUAAAUAAAGAAUAAUCAUUUUAGAAGGAGUGAUUCACUUUUUCCCACAAAAUAUCACAUUAUGGACCCAGCAACUUUAGACCCUUGAUUAACUCUUCUUUUAUAGCUACUAAAAGUAGUUUUUAAAAAACAAAUCUUAAAAAAAGAUGUCAAGCAUGUACUAAAGCUUUGUCAGUUCUGUUUUCAGGCUAGAGUAUUUUUUUUUAACUGCUAAGUUAUACACCCCAUUGGAAUCCAUUACCGUGGCAGGUUUUUCUAGGCAAAUAGCACACCAGAGGGAAGUUUGGCUUUGAGUUUUCUUCUUUCUGAUUUAGUUUAUUCUUUGGUUGCUAAUUUACAUUUUUUCUCUGAAAAAAGAUUAGAAUUAUAAUACAUAUGCAAAAGCAUAAAGCAGAGAAAGACAACCCAUGGCCUCUGACAGUAUGAACUUGGGCAAAUUAACAGCACCGAUUCUGUCUCAGUUUAAACAGCUGUAAACAGGGGUGAUCAUUUCUAUUAUAAAUGUGAGUUUUGAGGAUAAAAAUGUGAUGAUGUCCUGGAGCUGACUGAUUGUUAAUUAUUCAGGAAUUUUAUGAGCUGGAUGUUAAAAUCUUGGUAAUUUAAAAUUGGCAGGGAUGGAGGUGGGGGUAUUUAUUUACACAAUGGAAAAGGCAAAUUAGAGGUUUCCUUUUCCUUCCUGGAGAGCAGGUUUACCAGCACAUCACUGGGUAAUCCUUGCUGCUUAGUAAAGUUCUAGGCCCAUACUAAGAAUUCAGUAUUCUUAGUUCUUAGGUGUAUGAUUAUGAAAUUAAUUUAGAAAUCUGCAUAGUAGCAUUUUUCUUACUUAUCUCUCCAAAGGCUUUUACCAAUUUAUACCAUUAUGCUAACAAUAAAGAUGUCAAGAUAUUUGUAUUAAGAAAUCUACCUUUUAGUACCUGCACAUAAGAAUCAACUAAGUUUUCAUGAGAGAAAACUUCUCAUUAGUUGACAGCCAAGAGGCCUUAAUGAAAUACUUCUGGUUGCAAGUCAUUGUAAACCUCUGGUAUUAUUCCUUCUCUUUGGUGUCAAUACACAAAAUAUUUCAUGGAUUAAUCUGAGCUAACAUUAAAACAAGUACUUUCUAAGCGGAACCUUCCACCUCAUCUCUCUGUUCAUCUGUUGGCUUCUAUUACUCUUAUUUCUUCUAUGCAAAGAAUUUUGUUUACCUGAAAGUAAAUGUUUGAAAAAAUCACAUACAAAUUCAAAAUGUGUUUUUAAUGAUAGGUCUGUGGCUUGGCUUGCAGAGAGCAUCCAUAUAUCAAAUACAUUUAUGGCUGUGUCAUGAACUUGAUCUGGACAGAGGGAAAGCAGGAUUCCAGGUGGAGAGGAGUAGAUUCCCAAACUUGUGCAAAUGAUUAGAGGCAGCUGUUUAAAUUCAUAUUUGGAGGGUAAACUCGGAAAUGGGCCACAUUUUUUUUUUAGUAGGACUACUUCUACUCAGAGGAGUGAGGGGAUCUUCUGUAGCUAGCUAGCAGAUGUUGGGGAAGGAAUAUUCCUCGUUGAAACAUAAAACAGAGAAAGGAUACAGAGAAUAAAUAAGGCAUGUCAAAGGAUGUUGAAGGAAUACUUUUCUGUUAGUCAAUAUUGACUAACAGAAAAAAAAAUUUCUUGAUCAAGGCCCUUUUAUUUUUGAUGAAGUGUUUAGGAAAGUUAUUGCUCAGACCCAAUUACCUUUCUCUUAUCUUCCUAACAUGCUAUUGGUUUAUAUAGUUUCAUCUCAAAAUAUAUAUCUAAGAUAUAAAUUGAAUAAGUGUAUAAUAUAUGAAUACAUAGUCUCACAGUGACUUUUACUUUUUUCUGAUUGUAAUGUUUUAUAACAAUGUAAAAUUUCAAGAAAUAGAGGAGUGUA